UGCCCCCUGCCCUUCUCGACAACCGGCAACUUAAAUAACCCAACACAUUCUUUUUCGGGAACCGCGCUCCGUGUGCGGAUUGCAGACCUCCUGCCAUGCAGAUGAAGGGAGCGUGAAACACACGGGACGGUACCCACCUGCACACAAGCAGGUUAUUCUCAGUGCCGGCGGCUGGGCGGGGUUUUC
Molecule: non-coding RNA, 186 nt
Filed under: Clostridiales bacterium
Lineage: Bacteria; Bacillati; Bacillota; Clostridia; Eubacteriales
Also listed under: 1 other name
Description: 6S RNA
Rfam family: 6S / SsrS RNA
About the family: E. coli 6S RNA was the first non coding RNA to be sequenced, but its function was unknown until recently. It consists of 184 nucleotides that fold into an extended hairpin structure with a large single-stranded internal bulge.
Source: RNAcentral